UAGAAACCAUGAUUCUUUUCCAGAU
This 25-nucleotide non-coding RNA is filed under the name Mus musculus (house mouse). The record is from RNAcentral. RNAcentral also lists the same sequence under 1 other name. Lineage: Eukaryota; Metazoa; Chordata; Mammalia; Rodentia; Muridae.